CCCACCAUUGAUUAGAAGAUUUAGCUUGUAUGAAUCGCUAUUGGUUUGAUACGAAGAAUGACAAUCGUUUCAGUAUGUUAAGGAUACAGAUGUAUCCACAAUUCAUUUAGAGUUACUUAAUAGUCUAUUUCUUAUACCAUAUCUCUAUCCCGUGAAAUUCUCGAGCCAAAAGAUGGAUGCAUAUGCUGUGUUUCAUUUUGCUAAAUGAUAUCAAUUAAAUGGUGUAUCAAUUCCAUAAAUUGCAUAUAGCAAUAAAUAAAUCAGCAAAAUUCUUUCUAAUAUUUUAGAUAGAAGAAAUGUUUCUUCUAUCUAAAAUAUUAGAAAGAAUGUACCCUUCUAUCCAAAUCCAAUUUGCAUCGAUAAAAUAAAUCCAAAUUCCAGUAGUAGAUGAAUAAUUGCAAAUUUGUGUGUGUACGAGAUUAGAAUAACUUCAAAAUAACUGACAUAAUUUUGUAUUUUUCCUGAUCAGAAAAAUACAUGAAAAAGAAAGGAGGUAGAAAAAUUUUUGGAUUUAUGGUUAAAGAAGAAAAAGAAGAAAACAGGGGUUCUGUUGAAUUUCAAGUAUUCAGUUUCACCAAUAAGAUACGGGGACUUGCUUCACAUUUGGAAUUACACAAAAAAGAUUUUUCAUCGGAAAGAGGUCUACGAAGACUUUUGGGAAAACGUCGACGUUUGCUGGCUUAUUUGGCAAAGAAAAAUAGAGUACGUUAUAAGAAAUUAAUCGGUCAGUUGAAUAUUCGGGAGCAGUAAUUUAAUCGUUCAAAUUUUUUUCUUGUUUUAUUAUUUUUUUAGUAGUCUUAUAGUAGUCUUAGAUUUUUCAUUUUGAUGAGCCUCGCUUUGAGGAAUUCAUGGAAUAAUCCAUUUUCAUGGAAUAAUGAAUUAAGGAAGAAAGGAUAUGAGUCUACCGCUUACAAGAAAAGAUCUCAUGAUAGUCAAUAUGGGCCCUCAACACCCAUCAAUGCAUGGUGUUCUUCGACUGAUCGUUACUCUCGAUGGUGAGGAUGUUAUUGAUUGUGAACCCAUAUUAGGCUAUUUACACAGAGGAAUGGAAAAAAUCGCGGAAAACCGAACUAUUAUACAAUACUUACCUUAUGUAACAAGGUGGGAUUAUUUAGCUACUAUGGUUACAGAAGCAAUAACAGUAAAUGCACCAGAAUUCUUGGAGAAUAUUCAAAUACCACAAAGAGCCAGCUAUAUUAGGGUAAUUAUGUUAGAAUUAAGCCGGAUAGCUUCUCACUUGCUAUGGCUUGGACCUUUUAUGGCGGAUCUCGGCGCACAGACUCCUUUUUUCUAUAUUUUUAGAGAGAGAGAAUUAAUAUAUGAUCUAUUUGAAGCUGCUACAGGUAUGCGAAUGAUGCACAAUUACUUUCGCAUCGGAGGAGUAGCCGCCGAUCUACCUUAUGGAUGGAUCGAGAAAUGUUUAGAUUUCUGUGAUUAUUUUUUACGCGGAGUUGUUGAAUAUCAACAACUUAUUACACAGAAUCCAAUUUUUUUAGAGCGAGUUGAAGGAGUAGGUUUUAUUAGCGGAGAAGAAGCAGUAAAUUGGGGCUUAUCGGGACCGAUGUUACGAGCUUCUGGAAUACAAUGGGAUCUUCGUAAAG
RNAcentral lists this long non-coding RNA (1601 nucleotides) under Triticum aestivum (bread wheat). RNAcentral describes it as "long non-coding RNA (TAES_LNC020984)". The record is from RNAcentral. Lineage: Eukaryota; Viridiplantae; Streptophyta; Magnoliopsida; Poales; Poaceae.